CAAUAGCGUAUAUUAAAGUUGUUGCAGUUAAAAAGCUCGUAGUUGGAUUUCUGUGAGAGUGCCGGUGUCGGCUGAUGCUUGUACGCAGGCGCUCUUACAUCCUUCUGUUAACUCAUCUUGGCAUUUUAUUGCUGGUUGAGGGCUCAGAUAUUUUACCUUGAGAAAAUUAGAGUGUUUCAGGCAGGCUUAUGCCGGAAUACAUUAGCAUGGAAUAAUGGAACAGGACCUGUGCGUCUCUCGGGGCGCCGGUCUCCGUUAUUGGUUUCGGGGACUAAUGUAAUGAUUAAUAGGGAUAGUUGGGGGCAUUAGUAUUUAAUAGUCAGAGGUGAAAUUCUCGGAUUUGUUAAAGACUAACUUAUGCGAAAGCAUUUGCCAAGGAUGUUUUCAUUGA
This 391-nucleotide ribosomal RNA is filed under the name uncultured eukaryote. RNAcentral's name for it is "partial 18S ribosomal RNA". It matches the Rfam family "Eukaryotic small subunit ribosomal RNA", at positions 592 to 976 of the family's 1831-position model. The record is from RNAcentral.